GUUAUGGGUACUGUGCAGUUUUUUUAGAUUUUUCAUAAGUAUGUUUACAAGUGGUAGAGGUAUUGAAUUCAAAAAGGUUACCAAAGUUGUAAAGGUGGUGGAUGG
Octopus sinensis (East Asian common octopus) is the source of this 105-nucleotide long non-coding RNA. RefSeq lists it as uncharacterized. NCBI's taxonomy places the organism in Eukaryota, Metazoa, Mollusca, Cephalopoda, Octopoda, Octopodidae. The transcript is spliced from 3 exons. The record is from RefSeq and is a predicted model, not a curated record.